GAUCCUGGCUCAGGAUGAACGCUAGCUACAGGNUUAACACAUGCAAGUCGAGGGGCAGCAUGGUCUUAGCUUGCUAAGGCCGAUGGCGACCGGCGCACGGGUGAGUAACACGUAUCCAACCUGCCGUCUACUCUUGGACAGCCUUCUGAAAGGAAGAUUAAUACAAGAUGGCAUCAUGAGUUCACAUGUUCACAUGAUUAAAGGUAUUCCGGUAGACGAUGAACA
This 225-nucleotide ribosomal RNA is filed under the name uncultured bacterium. RNAcentral describes it as "partial 16S ribosomal RNA". It matches the Rfam family "Bacterial small subunit ribosomal RNA", at positions 15 to 231 of the family's 1533-position model. The record is from RNAcentral.